This 253-nucleotide ribosomal RNA is filed under the name uncultured bacterium. RNAcentral's name for it is "partial 16S ribosomal RNA". It matches the Rfam family "Bacterial small subunit ribosomal RNA", at positions 524 to 776 of the family's 1533-position model. The record is from RNAcentral.
UCCGUAGGGUGCAAGCGUUAAUCGGAAUUACUGGGCGUAAAGCGUGCGCAGGCGGUUAUGCAAGACAGAUGUGAAAUCCCCGGGCUUAACCUGGGAACUGCAUUUGUGACUGCAUAGCUGGAGUGCGGCAGAGGGGGAUGGAAUUCCGCGUGUAGCAGUGAAAUGCGUAGAUAUGCGGAGGAACACCGAUGGCGAAGGCAAUCCCCUGGGCCUGCACUGACGCUCAUGCACGAAAGCGUGGGGAGCAAACAGG